UGAUCCAAAUGAUACGCUCAAGAGGCGACCUUGGACAUAUCUUUGCUGGAUCUGUUGUAUUUCAUGUGGCUCUGGACCAAAUGGCCUGCAGCUUGAGCAGAGAUGAGGGACAACUCCCCAGCAAGGACAGCGCCAGCCACAACGGCGGCCAGGAGCCUCGCAUUUGAUCCUGGGGAUUCCCUGUUUGCGCCCUUCACGCCAAGUAGGUCCAAGCAAGCAGACUGUGAGGCCAGCUGUGUGCCUCCACCAACCGUGCCUACCUCAAUUGAUGGCAUAGUAACAGAGAUAUGAAGAUCUUUGCCAUCAUUUACAGCUUCCAACAUUGUGAUGCACUGGGAGCUUUCCACAUUCUGUGCAGGAUCCUGACCGGUGGCAAUAAAGAUGGCUGUUACAAUGUUGCUAGCAUGGGCAUUGAAGCCACCCAAAGCUCCAGCAACAGCUGAACCAGCAAGGUUCUUGAUGACGUUCAAUUCUACUAGUGACUGAACGUUGGUCUUGAGAACCUUUUUCACAACUUCCUCUUUGAUUACUGCCUCACAAACCACAGACUUUCCACGUCCCUCAAUCCAAUUUACAGCAGCUGACUUUUUGUCAGAACA
This 599-nucleotide small RNA is filed under the name Oryza sativa Japonica Group (Japanese rice). RNAcentral's name for it is "sRNA Os09g0492733". Lineage: Eukaryota; Viridiplantae; Streptophyta; Magnoliopsida; Poales; Poaceae. The record is from RNAcentral.